ACACGACCCCCCGUGACGUGGGACCACCCCCUGAGAUUAAACAUAUCAAUA
This 51-nucleotide ribosomal RNA is filed under the name Senega cf. obovata. Its description in RNAcentral is "Polygala cf. obovata Zardini & Aquino 28464 partial 26S ribosomal RNA". The record is from RNAcentral. Lineage: Eukaryota; Viridiplantae; Streptophyta; Magnoliopsida; Fabales; Polygalaceae.